RNAcentral lists this small RNA (135 nucleotides) under uncultured Stackebrandtia sp. Its description in RNAcentral is "ydaO/yuaA leader". It matches the Rfam family "c-di-AMP riboswitch aptamer (ydaO/yuaA leader)", at positions 11 to 129 of the family's 134-position model. Rfam says of the family: This family represents a conserved RNA structure found upstream of the ydaO and yuaA genes in Bacillus subtilis and related genes in other bacteria. The record is from RNAcentral. Lineage: Bacteria; Bacillati; Actinomycetota; Actinomycetes; Glycomycetales; Glycomycetaceae.
CGCCGAAUUGCCUGCGGGCAAACCGGGGACCCAUACAGGUCGGUUUAACGGGCCUUCGGGGUGAAUCCGUGCUUUCAACGGUAGGGCGUUCUUCGGCCCGAACCCGGCAGCUAACCCGGUAGGCGGUCGACGAAG